Molecule: RNA transcript, 1103 nt
Organism: Lemur catta (Ring-tailed lemur)
Lineage: Eukaryota; Metazoa; Chordata; Mammalia; Primates; Lemuridae
Exons: 6
Source: RefSeq, a predicted model, not a curated record
UCAGUGAUCAAGACUGUGCAGAGGACUUCUAGAAAUGAAAGGGUUUGCUCUUUCUUCUUCCAACAACGCCUGAGUUAAGACAGAUAAUCUGUAGACUGUUUUCUCCCAAGAUAUCAUUUACAAUGAAGAUCUUAGCCUUUUUCUCUAUUUUGUUCUUCUUUGGUGUCUACAUUCUACCAGUGUGUUCUCCCCAACGUGUUACCAGUCCUGUGAUACCAUUGCCAACUAGAUGCACAUUGAAUCUCAAAAAAUUACCCUCAAUGAGCAGUAAGUUUUCCACAAUAUUGGAAAGGGCACAAUACGGGACAGAAGAAAACAACACAGCCAGAAAUAAAGAGCAUAGUCUUUCCUUCGACCGGAGGAUUGCAUGUAAAUUGCUUGGUGGUUGUUGUAAACAACAGUGUGGGAAAGGUGAAUUCAGGUUGUCCUACUGUGCAAGACCUACGACUCCUUGCUGCUUGAUAGAAUGUGACCCUCUGGAUCCAAUGAACUGGAUACCAAAGAUAGACCUACCCAUGAGAUCUUACAGACCCAGAUAAUCCAUAUUUUUUCAGGCCUUUUUACUACUUGAUUUCUGGUUCUCCAUUGGACAUCCCCAACCUUCAUCGUCUCACCUCUCUUCAGGACCUCAGUGCAUUGGAUGCUGCCCACCCAGAUUGGUGACAGUAGAUCUUCUUUACUCAUUCUGCUAAUUCAAAUGUGAACCUCUUUCUGAAACAUCCUCACAGAAACACACCCCAAAAUGAUGUUCACCAACUAUUUGGACAUUCCUUAACCCAAUUAAUACGACACAUAAACUUAACCAUCACAAACAUAAGAUCUCAUUAGGGAAUUGCAAAUUAAAAUGACAAUGAGGUAUCACAUGUACCUGCUAGGAUGGCCAAAAGUCAAAACACUAACCACAUUGAAUGCUGACAAUGAUGUGGAGCAACAGUAACUCUCAUUGAUUUUGAUGGGCCAAAGAUGGUCCAGCCACUUUGAAAGAUAGUCUGGCAGUUUUAUAUACAACUAAACACACCUUUAACAUACAAUCCAACAAUCGUGUCCAUGGUAUUUACCCAAAUAAAUUGAAAAGUUAUGUCCAAAUAAAACUUUCAAAUGGA